GUUAUCUGAACCUUCGGGGAACGAUAACGGCGUCGAGCGGCGGACGGGUGAGUAAUGCCUAGGAAAUUGCCCUGAUGUGGGGGAUAACCAUUGGAAACGAUGGCUAAUACCGCAUGAUGCCUACGGGCCAAAGAGGGGGACCUUCGGGCCUCUCGCGUCAGGAUAUGCCUAGGUGGGAUUAGCUAGUUGGUGAGGUAAGGGCUCACCAAGGCGACGAUCCCUAGCUGGUCUGAGAGGAUGAUCAGCCACACUGGAACUGAGACACGGUCCAGACUCCUACGGGAGGCAGCAGUGGGGAAUAUUGCACAAUGGGCGCAAGCCUGAUGCAGCCAUGCCGCGUGUGUGAAGAAGGCCUUCGGGUUGUAAAGCACUUUCAGUCGUGAGGAAGGUAGUGUAGUUAAUAGCUGCAUUAUUUGACGUUAGCGACAGAA
RNAcentral lists this ribosomal RNA (431 nucleotides) under Vibrio campbellii. RNAcentral describes it as "bacterial SSU rRNA". It matches the Rfam family "Bacterial small subunit ribosomal RNA", at positions 66 to 486 of the family's 1533-position model. The record is from RNAcentral. Lineage: Bacteria; Pseudomonadati; Pseudomonadota; Gammaproteobacteria; Vibrionales; Vibrionaceae.